CUCCCCCUCCUUUAGAUGAGGAGGGGGAGAAGUAAAGCAAAGAACAACUCACGGGUUGAGAUAAGGAUAAUUUAAUUAAAUGGAAAUAACUAUAAUAAUUAAAUAAAGACUACCAUGAACUAAACAAUUUAACUAAGGGGAAAUAAAAAGGGAAAGGGGAAAAGGGAGGGGAAAAGGGAAAAUAAAAAGAAAAAAAAAAAAAAAAAAUAGUUGCAGAAAUGACUAUGCCUUAAGCAGAAAGAAAAAAAAAAAAAAAAGUUGGUCAUCUCUCACAUCAACAGUGUUGUCAGUGUUGUAUGUAGUACUGAAUAGUGAACACGAGCAUGUAAAUGAAUUUUCUUUAAAUAUAAUUCAUUUUGAUAUCAUAAUUUUUAUUAUUAUCUUAGUUGAAGUUUGUGAUGCUGUAAACAGGUCAGCAAAAACAUGGCUAUUAAGAAUAGAAUUUUGUUACACUAAGAACAAAAUACAAGAGCUUUACUUUAGAAAGCAAAAUGUCAAUAUGAGAGUGAACGUUUAUCAUUCAUAAGCACUUUGAAUGGAGAAAAUCCAAUAUUAAUAAUAAUAAUUUUAAAAUAUAUAUAUGCUAAAUAACAAAUAACUAUACAUUGCUAGACAAAGAAAAUUAAAAGAUUUAUUGCCAUCAGACUAAUAAGGUACAGAAUAUCAUUCAACUGAGAGGUAGUAAACAAUGAAUGGAAAAAUAGUAGAAGUGAACUACUUUUGAUACUGUGAAUAACUUGAGGGAGGACUGUAAUGACUAGGCAGGAAUUCACUUUCAAUCAUGUCUUCUCAUGACUGUAAUAUAGUUGUUUAUUGCAACUUAUUCCUUAUUGUUUAUAAUUGCAUCACUUAUUAGUAUUUGUGAAGGCAGUGGAGGAGAAUGUUUGCUACUUAAAUGUCUGAUGAAGUGUAUGGAAACUAUUUGGUUUGUGGAGCUUGAAGGCAGCGUAUCUGCUGUUGCAGCUUCUUCUAGCUUCUCUUCUGUGAAUUAGCCAGGUUUGUGAGCCAACCUUGAGUCUCUCUGCAAGCAUGCAGCCAAAUUAAAGGGUUUUCCAUAAUGGUAACAGAUCCUGGUUAUAUGCUCUAGCACAAAUCCAUAUAUUAUAAAAUUCUUUCGAGUAUGAAAACCUCAGCAGAGGUUUAGAAUGCAAAGAAUUUUCACUGCAUUUUGUGCUACUGAAAAAUGGAGCUUUUUUUUUUUCAUCUAAAUGAGCCAAAAAUCUGAAAAACUAAAUCUGACAGGUCUGAUAACACAACAUGCCAAGUCUGAAACACUACUAACUGGCUGAAUACUACUUUUGAGCCAUAGAGGGUUGAGAAAACCUUUACAAGAAGAUGUUCUUGAAAUUCCUUUUUUUCUUCCAGUGCAUUCUAAUAUCUGAAUUCUCUCCUAUGGGAUCUUGUCUGUUAGAAUAUAAUGGAAGGAAAACAUAGAACCUCUCUGGAGGUAGUUAACAAAGAUAUACAAAAAGUCAAUGACUGCAGAGAGCACACUCACAUCAGAAAGAAUUGUUUCCUUGUUUCAU
RNAcentral lists this long non-coding RNA (1526 nucleotides) under Anas platyrhynchos platyrhynchos (common mallard). Its description in RNAcentral is "lncRNA (ENSAPLG00000027485.1)". The record is from RNAcentral. Lineage: Eukaryota; Metazoa; Chordata; Aves; Anseriformes; Anatidae.